Long non-coding RNA from Amphimedon queenslandica, 359 nucleotides. RefSeq lists it as uncharacterized. The record is from RefSeq and is a predicted model, not a curated record. Lineage: Eukaryota; Metazoa; Porifera; Demospongiae; Haplosclerida; Niphatidae. The transcript has 2 exons.
GGGCUUGGCUGGGCGUGGCUAAACACGUGGUGACAUAAGACUUGAAAAUGAAGAGGCUGCCAGUUGAUGAAGAUUUGACUCCUGAAGAUGCAGUAAUGGACGAGAAGGCGAUGGCUAGAAGGCAGCUUUGGGGCAGUGUGGCCAUGUUUGCAGCCAUCGUGGUGUCACUGAGAGUUGGUCCUUAUUUAUGGAGGUUUUUGACUAGUUGAUUAUAAAGAUUUAAUAUUAUGAUUUAAAUCAAUGUAAAUCAUUUAUAAUAGUAAUAAUUCUGCUCGGUAAUAGUUAAAUAAUAGUUAUUAAAAACGGGGUGUGAUCAUAUUCCAGUCGAGAUUAGAUCGUAUUUUUUCACUUAUUUUGUG